CUUGAGAUUUGACUUCUUUUUGAUUUUUAAUAGUUUUAAUAAAUGCAAAUGUUUUCUCAUCAUUAUUUUAAUUUACUUAGCUAUUCUACUCUUCAUAUGUGAAGGAGUUUGGGUAUAAAAAGAACAAAAGGCAACAUUUGAAGACAUCUCAGAAACCAUUCAAAAGGAAAAACCUUGAUGAUUAGUCAGUAAUUUUGGAGGGAAAAAGUGAAAGGAAUGUUGAUGGACACCACUCUCCUCCCCUGGUGACAACUCUUGAUGCAUCCCUACUGUGACAAGCCAGGAAAUAAUUCCAUGGGAAGUCAAUCAAUGAAAGUUAACAAG
Pan paniscus (pygmy chimpanzee) is the source of this 324-nucleotide long non-coding RNA. The record is from Ensembl. NCBI's taxonomy places the organism in Eukaryota, Metazoa, Chordata, Mammalia, Primates, Hominidae.